RNAcentral lists this ribosomal RNA (510 nucleotides) under uncultured bacterium. RNAcentral's name for it is "bacterial SSU rRNA". It matches the Rfam family "Bacterial small subunit ribosomal RNA", at positions 36 to 524 of the family's 1533-position model. The record is from RNAcentral.
GGAACCUGGCGGCGUGCCUAAUACAUGCAGUCGAGCGAACGGACGAGAAGCUUGCUUCUCUGAUGUUAGCGGCGGACGGGUGAGUAACACGUGGAUAACCUACCUAUAAGACUGGGAUAACUUCGGGAAACCGGAGCUAAUACCGGAUAAUAUUUUGAACCGCAUGGUUCAAAAGUGAAAGACGGUCUUGCUGUCACUUAUAGAUGGAUCCGCGCUGCAUUAGCUAGUUGGUAAGGUAACGGCUUACCAAGGCAACGAUGCAUAGCCGACCUGAGAGGGUGAUCGGCCACACUGGAACUGAGGCACGGUCCAGACUCCUACGGGAGGCAGCAGUAGGGAAUCUUCCGCAAUGGGCGAAAGCCUGACGGAGCAACGCCGCGUGAGUGAUGAAGGUCUUCGGAUCGUAAAACUCUGUUAUUAGGGAAGAACAUAUGUGUAAGUAACUGUGCACAUCUUGACGGUACCUAAUCAGAAAGCCACGGCUAACUACGUGCCAGCAGCCGCGGUAAU